CCUACGGGUGGCUGCAGUGGGGAAUAUUGGACAAUGGGGGCAACCCUGAUCCAGCCAUGCCGCGUGUGUGAAGAAGGCCCUCGGGUUGUAAAGCACUUUCAGUGAGGAAGAACGCCUGGUGGUUAAUACCCAUCAGGAAAGACAUCACUCACAGAAGAAGCACCGGCUAACUCCGUGCCAGCAGCCGCGGUAAUACGGAGGGUGCGAGCGUUAAUUGGAAUUACUGGGCGUAAAGCGCGCGUAGGUGGCUUGAUAAGCCGGUUGUGAAAGCCCCGGGCUCAACCUGGGAACGGCAUCCGGAACUGUCAAGCUAGAGUGCAGGAGAGGAAGGUAGAAUUCCCGGUGUAGCGGUGAAAUGCGUAGAGAUCGGGAGGAAUACCAGUGGCGAAGGCGGCCUUCUGGACUGACACUGACACUGAGGUGCGAAAGCGUGGGUAGCAAACAGGAUUAGAUACCCUUGUAGUC
RNAcentral lists this ribosomal RNA (465 nucleotides) under Vreelandella stevensii. RNAcentral describes it as "partial 16S ribosomal RNA". It matches the Rfam family "Bacterial small subunit ribosomal RNA", at positions 338 to 795 of the family's 1533-position model. Lineage: Bacteria; Pseudomonadati; Pseudomonadota; Gammaproteobacteria; Oceanospirillales; Halomonadaceae. The record is from RNAcentral.